This is a long non-coding RNA of Polypterus senegalus (gray bichir), 1388 nucleotides long. RefSeq lists it as uncharacterized. The record is from RefSeq and is a predicted model, not a curated record. Lineage: Eukaryota; Metazoa; Chordata; Cladistia; Polypteriformes; Polypteridae. The transcript is spliced from 3 exons.
AUGGCGUUUGUUUAUAUCUGAGAGGCCUCGGACUUUCUGAAGGAAGAAGGAAAGACGAGUUAUUACCCUGUCGUUAACCCCUCGCGGUGUUUAGUGCAGUAAAAGCCAAGCAGCCCUUCAGAGAUCCCCGUGAAGAGCAGAGACUCCGUCCAUUGCGGUGCUCGGCGCCGACGCUGCAGUAUAUCUGCGCUCAAAAUGACAGACCUGCACGUUGAAGCCAAGUUCAGUGACAAAGUAAAAGCUCGUGGCGUAUUUGCUAAAUCAUUAAUUCUGAGGGGUAACUUUGUUACAGAAUACAGAGUUUAACUUCUGAACCAAGAAACACUAGAAAACCAAAUCCUCUUCUUUCUUCCCCGUCUGAGUACUGAGCUCACAUACAAAUGGAGGUCUUACUGGUAGCUCAAUGGUUACUGUGGUUGUACUGGGAUGUACAGAAAAUGUACUUGAUUGACGUUACAGAUAAACAAAGAGCGCGUUUCUUUUCCUCUCCUUUUUUGUAGUAAAUGACACACCUCAUCUUUCUUUGCUUUAAGAGCCAUUUAUCUAAAUGAAGACAUGACUGGUGGCUCUGGAGGAUGAGCUCUUCCUUGGUGACACACACACCAUAAAGAAGGACACGGUGAGCCCGUCGUGCUGGACAUGCAGUAGCACAGCGGAGGGAGUUUGUCUGCUGCUCUUGUGAAUGAUUUUUAAAUAUAACUCGUAUUACUAGGAGGCAGAGGCACAACUGAAACUUGGGGAGAACCUCAGAGAUUUGAAGAAACCAGGAAUUCAUUUUAACAGACAGACAGACAGACAUUUUCACGAGUGUUUCAUUAUUUCUGCAGGUGAAUUCUACUAACAAACCAUCACAGUGCCUUAAUGCUGCGAUCCUGACUUUAAUGAUCAGACCUGCUGAACGGGGAGAUUUGAAUUAUUGUGACAAAGAAACUAAAUUACAUUUACUGUGAAAGUCGAGAAUUUAACACAUUGGACAACGCUUUACGAAAGAUGAGUUAGUUUUUAAAAUUAUGUUCCUAAAAGUUUAUUUAAAUAUCUAAAGUGACUGUUUUGUUUUUUUUUUGGAUAACGGCACAUAAUUACUUUGUUGGUGACCUAAAAGAUAUUUUAUUCACUUUAAUUAAAGGGUGAAGCCUUGUAUUCUUACACGAUGUAUUGUGUUUUUAAGAUCAGUCGUGUAAACCUGAACUUGAGUGGAUAUGAAGGUUUGAUAUUUCGACUUAACUUGUGACCUGCAGCUCUGGACUGUAGACACGUGAUUAGAAGUGAAGGUUUAUUGGCUUCCAACCAUUUCACUCCUUUCAGACCCCACUUGGCUUAUCUGUUACUGUAGAUAUUUGAUAUCAUUUCACUUACAAACGUAUUUAGUUUGUCUUAUUCUCAUAAUA